RNAcentral lists this ribosomal RNA (726 nucleotides) under Phylloporus rubrosquamosus. Its description in RNAcentral is "eukaryotic LSU rRNA". The stretch from base 264 to 418 matches the Rfam family "5.8S ribosomal RNA". The record is from RNAcentral. Lineage: Eukaryota; Fungi; Basidiomycota; Agaricomycetes; Boletales; Boletaceae.
GUCGUAACAAGGUUUCCGUAGGUGAACCUGCGGAAGGAUCAUUAUCGAAUCUAAAUAUGAAGGAAAGAGGUAGAGAGACUGUCGCUGGCCGGACUUUGACUAGUCUAGCAUGUGCACGUCCCCUCGCCUUUUUUCUAUCUAUACACCACACCUGUGCACCUUUUGUAGAUCUCCUCCCUCUUGAAAGAGAGGGCGGGAAUCUAUGUUUUCAUCAUAUCACACAUGUCGUAUGGCCAGAAUGAAACAAUAUAUAAUAUAUAUACAACUUUCAGCAACGGAUCUCUUGGCUCUCGCAUCGAUGAAGAACGCAGCGAAUUGCGAUAAGUAAUGUGAAUUGCAGAUUUCCAGUGAAUCAUCGAAUCUUUGAACGCAUCUUGCGCUCCUUGGUAUUCCGAGGAGCAUGCCUGUUUGAGUGUCAUUUAAUUCUCAACCAUUUCUCUCUUGAGUGAUGGAUUGGAGUUGGGGGUUGCUGGCGGCCUGACCAUCAGCUCUCCUUAAAUGUAUUAGCGAUCGAGUUGGCUAGUCUUUGACGUGCACGGCCUUGGACGUGAUAAUGAUCGUCCUGGCUGGAGCGUCUUUCCUAUAGACUAUGUACAUAGAUGGCUUCUAAUCACGAUGGAAGCAAGUUAAGGCCUGUCGAGCUUAGCUACUAGGCAGUCGAAAGGCUGGCGAACACAAGCAAGGUGGAUCUUCUCGCUUUCGAUUCAAGAGACUGACCUCAAAUCA